This 890-nucleotide ribosomal RNA is filed under the name Circinaria rostamii. Its description in RNAcentral is "LSU rRNA". It matches the Rfam family "Eukaryotic large subunit ribosomal RNA", at positions 69 to 936 of the family's 3401-position model. Lineage: Eukaryota; Fungi; Ascomycota; Lecanoromycetes; Pertusariales; Megasporaceae. The record is from RNAcentral.
CAGGGAUUGCCUCAGUAACGGCGAGUGAAGCGGCAACAGCUCAAAUUUGAAAUCUGGCUCUCGGGCCCGAGUUGUAAUUUGUAGAGGGGAUUUCGGAGGCGGCGCCGGCCUAAGUUCCUUGGAACAGGGCGUCAUAGAGGGUGAGAAUCCCGUACGUGGCCGGCGGUCAAUUCCAUGUGAAACCCCUUCGACGAGUCGAGUUGUUUGGGAAUGCAGCUCAAAAUGGGUGGUAAAUUUCAUCUAAAGCUAAAUACCGGCCAGAGACCGAUAGCGCACAAGUAGAGUGAUCGAAAGAUGAAAAGCACUUUGGAAAGAGAGUUAAAAAGUACGUGAAAUUGUUGAAAGGGAAGCGCUUGCAACCAGACUUGCUCGCGGGUGAUCAGCCCCCCUUCGCGGGGGGUGCACUCGCCCGCGAUCAGGCCAGCAUCGGUUUUGACGGGCGGAUAAAGGCCCCGGGAAUGUAGCUCCCCUCGGGGAGUGUUAUAGCCCGAGGUACCAUGCGCCCAGUCGGGACCGAGGACCGCGCUUCGGCUAGGAUGCUGGCGUAAUGGUUGUAAGCGACCCGUCUUGAAACACGGACCAAGGAGUCUAACAUCUAUGCGAGUGUUUGGGUGAUAAACCCAUGCGCGGAAUGAAAGUGAACGGAGGUGGGAGCCCCUUUCGGGGGGCGCACCAUCGACCGAUCCAGAUGUCUUCGGAUGGAUUUGAGUAGGAGCAUAGCUGUUGGGACCCGAAAGAUGGUGAACUAUGCCUGGAUAGGGUGAAGCCAGAGGAAACUCUGGUGGAGGCUCGCAGCGGUUCUGACGUGCAAAUCGAUCGUCAAAUCUGGGUAUAGGGGCGAAAGGCAAGCUACCCGUGUUAAUUCUUUUAUGACAAUAUGCUAACAAAUU